This 510-nucleotide ribosomal RNA is filed under the name uncultured bacterium. RNAcentral's name for it is "partial 16S ribosomal RNA". It matches the Rfam family "Bacterial small subunit ribosomal RNA", at positions 28 to 507 of the family's 1533-position model. The record is from RNAcentral.
GACGAACGCUGGCGGCGUGCUUAACACAUGCAAGUCGAACGAAGAGCGAUGGAAGCUUGCUUCUUUCAAUCUUCGUGGCGAACGGGUGAGUCACGCGUAAUCAACCUGCCCUUCAGUGGGGGACCACAGUUGGAAACGACUGCUUAUACCGCAUACGAUCUAACCUCGGCAUCCAGGAUGGAUGAAAGGUUGCCUCUAUUCAUAAGCUAUCACUGAAGGAGGGGAUUGCGUCUGAUUAGCUAGUUGGGGGGGUAACGGCCCAACAAAGCGAUGAUCAGUAGGCGGUCCGAGGAGAUGAACCGCCACAUUGGGACUGGGACACGGCUCAAACUCCUACGGGGGGCAGCAGUGGGGGAUCUUCCGCAAUGGGCGGAAGUCUGACGGAGCAACGCCGCGGGGGGGAUGACGGCCUUCGGGUUGUAAAGCUCUGUUAAUCGGGACGAAAGGCCUUCUUGCGAAUAGUUAGAAGGAUUGACGGUACCGGAAUAGAAAGCCACGGCUAACUACGUG